AUGUGGGCUGCUGUGUGCACAUACAUGUCACUAAGCACAGGAUGUGGCUGUGAAAUCCAGUCACCACCUAAGAAUAUGUCCCCCAAGAGAGCAUUUCUGUCUAAGCAGUCACGUUGCAGCAGGUAUCUUUGCUUUGGAGAUGCACCUUUGGGAACAUCUUUCCUCCUAGUUGGGCCCACCCUCGGGAAUACCUCAGUGACAGUAGAUGUCGUCAUCUCAGAGUAUGUUUGCACCAUAGAAACAGGCAGUUGGUAUUUGAAGUUUGCAUGCAUGUUCGGUUGCUUCAGUUGUAUCCGACUCUUUGUGACCCCAAGGACUGUAGCACGCCAGGCUCCUCUCUCUAUGAGAUUCUCCAGGCAAGAAUACUGGAGUGAGUUGCCAUGCCCUCCUCCAGGGAAUCUUCACGACCCAGGGAUCGAACCCAGGUCUCCUGCGUCUCCUGCAUUGCAGGCACACUCUUUACUGCUGAGCCACCAGGGAAGCCCAUUUCAAGUUAGUCUUGUGAAUAGAUUUGGGCCAUUCAUCCACAGGGUGAUUUUUUUGAAUGGAGAUUGUGGAAGCAUAGGAGGUGGUAACAGGAACCAAAAAUGUCCCUGGUGGCCUCCAACAUUGAAUGAGGGCUGGCAAAGAGACAGAUUUGCCUUCUGCUUCAGGAGGAACACAGCCUUGGGGCAGUGGGCAGGGCUUCUGGAUCUUUGCCUCCAGCCCCAUUUCCGAGCCAAGCUUGAGGGCCAGUCCUCCCUGGAGGAGAGCAACAACCCAAUGACCUUUCCUUCUCUCCACUCUGCAGUUAUAUUUGCCACGGAGGAACUCUCAACAGUGAACCCAAUAGAAGGUAACAUUUGUUAUGUGGGAUCCUUGUGGGCUCAUUCCCCUGCUGCACCCGGAGGUCUAUAUCUGGUACAGAAGAGGUGCAGAAGGCAUAAGGGAUGGGGUUGCUUAGCUCUCAAACAGGGAGGUCCUCUGAACAAGGCCUCACUGAAUGGGUGUCUCUUCCACGGAUCUUGA
RNAcentral lists this long non-coding RNA (1008 nucleotides) under Bos grunniens (domestic yak). RNAcentral's name for it is "lncRNA (ENSBGRG00000025089.1)". Lineage: Eukaryota; Metazoa; Chordata; Mammalia; Artiodactyla; Bovidae. The record is from RNAcentral.